Molecule: ribosomal RNA, 560 nt
Filed under: uncultured bacterium
Lineage: Bacteria
Description: bacterial SSU rRNA
Rfam family: Bacterial small subunit ribosomal RNA
Source: RNAcentral
UUGAACGCUGGCGGCAUGCCUUACACAUGCAAGUCGAACGGUAACGCGGGGCAACCUGGCGACGAGUGGCGAACGGGUGAGUAAUACAUCGGAACGUGCCCAGUAGUGGGGGAUAGCCCGGCGAAAGCCGGAUUAAUACCGCAUACGACCUACGGGUGAAAGCGGGGGAUCGCAAGACCUCGCGCUAUUGGAGCGGCCGAUGUCAGAUUAGGUAGUUGGUGGGGUAAAGGCCUACCAAGCCUACGAUCUGUAGCUGGUCUGAGAGGACGAUCAGCCACACUGGGACUGAGACACGGCCCAGACUCCUACGGGAGGCAGCAGUGGGGAAUUUUGGACAAUGGGCGCAAGCCUGAUCCAGCCAUGCCGCGUGCGGGAAGAAGGCCUUCGGGUUGUAAACCGCUUUUGUCAGGGAAGAAACGCUCUGGGCUAAUACCCCGGGGUAAUGACGGUACCUGAAGAAUAAGCACCGGCUAACUACGUGCCAGCAGCCGCGGUAAUACGUAGGGUGCAAGCGUUAAUCGGAAUUACUGGGCGUAAAGCGUGCGCAGGCGGUUAUGCAA